GUAGAGACAGGUUGAGACAGGUGGAAAGGUUGAGACAGGUAGAGACAGGUAGAGACAGGUAGAGAGGUAGAGACAGGUAGAGACAGAUAGAGAGGUAGAGACAGGUGGAGAGGUAGAGACGGGUAGAGACAGGUAGAGACAGGUAGAGAGGUAGAGACAGGUGGAAAGGUAGAGACAGGUGGAGAGUUAGAGACAGGUAGAGAGGUAGGGAGGUAGAGACAGGUAGAGAGGUUGAGACAGGUAGAGAAGUAGAGACAGGUAGAGAAGUAUAGACAGGUAGAGAGGUAGAGACAGGUAAAGAGGUAGAGACAGGUAGAGAGGUAGAGACAGGUAGAGACAGGUGGAGAGGUAGAGAUAGGUGGAGAGGUAGAGACAGGUAGAGACAGGUAGAGAGGUAGAGACAGGUAGAGACAGAUAGAGAAGUAGAGACAGGUAGACAGGUGGAGAGGUAGAGACAGGUGGAAAGGUAGAGACAGGUAGAGAGGUAGAGACAGGUAGAGAGGUAGAGACAGGUAGAGAGGUAGAGACAGGUAAAGAGGUAGAGACAGGUAAAGAGGUAGAGACAGGUGGAAAGGUAGAGACAGGUGGAGAGGUAGAGACAGGUAGAGAAGUAGAGACAGGUAGAGAAGUAGAGACAGGUAGAGAAGUAGAGACAGGUGGAGAGGUAGAGACAGGUAGAGAGGUAGAGACAGGUAGAGACAGGUGGAGAGGUAGAGACAGGUAGAGAAGUAUAGACAAGUAAAGAGGUAGAGACAGGUGGAGAGGUAGAGGCAGGUGGAGAGGUAGAGACAGGUAGAGAGGUAGAGAGGUAGAGACAGGUAGAGAGGUAGAGACAGGUAGAGAAGUAUAGACAGGUAAAGAGGUAGAGACAGGUAGAGAGGUAGAGACAGGUAGAGAGGUAGAGAGGUAGAGACAGGUAGAGAGGUAGAGACAGGUAGAGAAGUAUAGACAGGUAAAGAGGUAGAGACAGGUAGAGAGGUAGAGACAGGUGGAGAGGUAGAGGUAGAGACAGGUAGAGAGGUAGAGAGGUAGAGACAGGUGGAGAGGUAGAGAGGUAGAGACAGGUGGAGAGGUAGAGAGGUAGAGACAGGUAGAGAGGUAGAGACAGGUAGAGAGGUAGAGACAGGUGGAGAGGUAGAGACAGGUAGAGAGGUAGAGACAGGUGGAGAGGUAGAGAGGUAGAGACAGGUGGAGAAGUAGAGACAGGUAGAGAGGAAUAGCCUGAAACACACUGUGGAAUGAGUGAAUGUGAUAAAG
RNAcentral lists this long non-coding RNA (1257 nucleotides) under Salmo salar (Atlantic salmon). Its description in RNAcentral is "lncRNA (ENSSSAG00000119921.1)". Lineage: Eukaryota; Metazoa; Chordata; Actinopteri; Salmoniformes; Salmonidae. The record is from RNAcentral.